GAGGGUAUAGCUCAAGUGGUAGAGCUGCAUGCUUAGCAUGCAUGAAGUCCUGGGUUCAAUCCCCAGUACCUCCU
This 74-nucleotide transfer RNA is filed under the name Camelus bactrianus (Bactrian camel). It matches the Rfam family "tRNA". Rfam says of the family: Transfer RNA (tRNA) molecules are approximately 80 nucleotides in length. Their secondary structure includes four short double-helical elements and three loops (D, anti-codon, and T loops). Further hydrogen bonds mediate the characteristic L-shaped molecular structure. tRNAs have two regions of fundamental functional importance: the anti-codon, which is responsible for specific mRNA codon recognition, and the 3' end, to which the tRNAs corresponding amino acid is attached (by aminoacyl-tRNA synthetases). tRNAs cope with the degeneracy of the genetic code in two manners: having more than one tRNA (with a specific anti-codon) for a particular amino acid; and 'wobble' base-pairing, i.e. permitting non-standard base-pairing at the 3rd anti-codon position. The record is from Rfam by way of RNAcentral. Lineage: Eukaryota; Metazoa; Chordata; Mammalia; Artiodactyla; Camelidae. RNAcentral also lists the same sequence under 2 other names.